Bubalus bubalis (water buffalo) is the source of this 660-nucleotide long non-coding RNA. RefSeq lists it as uncharacterized. The transcript has 3 exons. Lineage: Eukaryota; Metazoa; Chordata; Mammalia; Artiodactyla; Bovidae. The record is from RefSeq and is a predicted model, not a curated record.
UCACACACACACACACACACACACACACACACACACACGCACACACAAAGACAUUUUUGAAGCCUCUCGUUUCUCAGAGAGGUUUUAUUUAUAGGCCGCGCCUCAUUGUGAAUGUGAAAAGGAGAAAGCCCAGGCCCUCCGUAGACCUUUCAUGUGUAAAUCAGCCCGGGCCCAGAGCACGGGGGUCACCAGGAGGGGGAUUUCACUCUUAAUUACUCCUGGAGAAAGCGGGCGGGAGGGCGGCCGGGCGCAAGCUCCACCCACGCGGGAGGGAGGCCUCGCCCCGAGCCCCCGGCCGGCCGGGCCCAGCGCUGGGAGCCUGACUCGGCCCGGCGGGGCUGGCGGGGCUGGGGCCGCAUCAGGCCGAGGCGCAGGUGCCUCCGGGGAGCUGGGCCCCAAGUGGGUUUCUUUGGGGGCAAGAUGUUUGGACGUGGAAAGAGGGUACACAGUUUGGCACGUGUAAAAAUAACCUGCUCCAGAAAAGAAGUAUGGAAGUAGUCUCACCAGGCCCUGCACAUUGUUAACCUCUGGGAAUGAACUUGGAGGGAAUUCCCUGGCAGACCAGUGGUUUGGAUCUGUGCUUUCACUUUGAAGACCAAGGGUUCAAUCCCUUCUCAGGGAACUAAGAUCCUGCAGGCCAAGCAGCAUGGCUGACUAAAU